RNAcentral lists this ribosomal RNA (2901 nucleotides) under Escherichia coli. Its description in RNAcentral is "23S ribosomal RNA". It matches the Rfam family "Bacterial large subunit ribosomal RNA". The record is from RNAcentral. Lineage: Bacteria; Pseudomonadati; Pseudomonadota; Gammaproteobacteria; Enterobacterales; Enterobacteriaceae.
UUAAGCGACUAAGCGUACACGGUGGAUGCCCUGGCAGUCAGAGGCGAUGAAGGACGUGCUAAUCUGCGAUAAGCGUCGGUAAGGUGAUAUGAACCGUUAUAACCGGCGAUUUCCGAAUGGGGAAACCCAGUGUGAUUCGUCACACUAUCAUUAACUGAAUCCAUAGGUUAAUGAGGCGAACCGGGGGAACUGAAACAUCUAAGUACCCCGAGGAAAAGAAAUCAACCGAGAUUCCCCCAGUAGCGGCGAGCGAACGGGGAGCAGCCCAGAGCCUGAAUCAGUGUGUGUGUUAGUGGAAGCGUCUGGAAAGGCGCGCGAUACAGGGUGACAGCCCCGUACACAAAAAUGCACAUAUUGUGAGCUCGAUGAGUAGGGCGGGACACGUGGUAUCCUGUCUGAAUAUGGGGGGACCAUCCUCCAAGGCUAAAUACUCCUGACUGACCGAUAGUGAACCAGUACCGUGAGGGAAAGGCGAAAAGAACCCCGGCGAGGGGAGUGAAAAAGAACCUGAAACCGUGUACGUACAAGCAGUGGGAGCACGCUUAGGCGUGUGACUGCGUACCUUUUGUAUAAUGGGUCAGCGACUUAUAUUCUGUAGCAAGGUUAACCGAAUAGGGGAGCCGAAGGGAAACCGAGUCUUAACUGGGCGUUAAGUUGCAGGGUAUAGACCCGAAACCCGGUGAUCUAGCCAUGGGCAGGUUGAAGGUUGGGUAACACUAACUGGAGGACCGAACCGACUAAUGUUGAAAAAUUAGCGGAUGACUUGUGGCUGGGGGUGAAAGGCCAAUCAAACCGGGAGAUAGCUGGUUCUCCCCGAAAGCUAUUUAGGUAGCGCCUCGUGAAUUCAUCUCCGGGGGUAGAGCACUGUUUCGGCAAGGGGGUCAUCCCGACUUACCAACCCGAUGCAAACUGCGAAUACCGGAGAAUGUUAUCACGGGAGACACACGGCGGGUGCUAACGUCCGUCGUGAAGAGGGAAACAACCCAGACCGCCAGCUAAGGUCCCAAAGUCAUGGUUAAGUGGGAAACGAUGUGGGAAGGCCCAGACAGCCAGGAUGUUGGCUUAGAAGCAGCCAUCAUUUAAAGAAAGCGUAAUAGCUCACUGGUCGAGUCGGCCUGCGCGGAAGAUGUAACGGGGCUAAACCAUGCACCGAAGCUGCGGCAGCGACGCUUAUGCGUUGUUGGGUAGGGGAGCGUUCUGUAAGCCUGCGAAGGUGUGCUGUGAGGCAUGCUGGAGGUAUCAGAAGUGCGAAUGCUGACAUAAGUAACGAUAAAGCGGGUGAAAAGCCCGCUCGCCGGAAGACCAAGGGUUCCUGUCCAACGUUAAUCGGGGCAGGGUGAGUCGACCCCUAAGGCGAGGCCGAAAGGCGUAGUCGAUGGGAAACAGGUUAAUAUUCCUGUACUUGGUGUUACUGCGAAGGGGGGACGGAGAAGGCUAUGUUGGCCGGGCGACGGUUGUCCCGGUUUAAGCGUGUAGGCUGGUUUUCCAGGCAAAUCCGGAAAAUCAAGGCUGAGGCGUGAUGACGAGGCACUACGGUGCUGAAGCAACAAAUGCCCUGCUUCCAGGAAAAGCCUCUAAGCAUCAGGUAACAUCAAAUCGUACCCCAAACCGACACAGGUGGUCAGGUAGAGAAUACCAAGGCGCUUGAGAGAACUCGGGUGAAGGAACUAGGCAAAAUGGUGCCGUAACUUCGGGAGAAGGCACGCUGAUAUGUAGGUGAAGUCCCUUGCGGAUGGAGCUGAAAUCAGUCGAAGAUACCAGCUGGCUGCAACUGUUUAUUAAAAACACAGCACUGUGCAAACACGAAAGUGGACGUAUACGGUGUGACGCCUGCCCGGUGCCGGAAGGUUAAUUGAUGGGGUCAGCGCAAGCGAAGCUCUUGAUCGAAGCCCCGGUAAACGGCGGCCGUAACUAUAACGGUCCUAAGGUAGCGAAAUUCCUUGUCGGGUAAGUUCCGACCUGCACGAAUGGCGUAAUGAUGGCCAGGCUGUCUCCACCCGAGACUCAGUGAAAUUGAACUCGCUGUGAAGAUGCAGUGUACCCGCGGCAAGACGGAAAGACCCCGUGAACCUUUACUAUAGCUUGACACUGAACAUUGAGCCUUGAUGUGUAGGAUAGGUGGGAGGCUUUGAAGUGUGGACGCCAGUCUGCAUGGAGCCGACCUUGAAAUACCACCCUUUAAUGUUUGAUGUUCUAACGUUGACCCGUGAUCCGGGUUGCGGACAGUGUCUGGUGGGUAGUUUGACUGGGGCGGUCUCCUCCUAAAGAGUAACGGAGGAGCACGAAGGUUGGCUAAUCCUGGUCGGACAUCAGGAGGUUAGUGCAAUGGCAUAAGCCAGCUUGACUGCGAGCGUGACGGCGCGAGCAGGUGCGAAAGCAGGUCAUAGUGAUCCGGUGGUUCUGAAUGGAAGGGCCAUCGCUCAACGGAUAAAAGGUACUCCGGGGAUAACAGGCUGAUACCGCCCAAGAGUUCAUAUCGACGGCGGUGUUUGGCACCUCGAUGUCGGCUCAUCACAUCCUGGGGCUGAAGUAGGUCCCAAGGGUAUGGCUGUUCGCCAUUUAAAGUGGUACGCGAGCUGGGUUUAGAACGUCGUGAGACAGUUCGGUCCCUAUCUGCCGUGGGCGCUGGAGAACUGAGGGGGGCUGCUCCUAGUACGAGAGGACCGGAGUGGACGCAUCACUGGUGUUCGGGUUGUCAUGCCAAUGGCACUGCCCGGUAGCUAAAUGCGGAAGAGAUAAGUGCUGAAAGCAUCUAAGCACGAAACUUGCCCCGAGAUGAGUUCUCCCUGACCCUUUAAGGGUCCUGAAGGAACGUUGAAGACGACGACGUUGAUAGGCCGGGUGUGUAAGCGCAGCGAUGCGUUGAGCUAACCGGUACUAAUGAACCGUGAGGCUUAACCU